Molecule: long non-coding RNA, 2400 nt
Filed under: Solanum tuberosum (potato)
Lineage: Eukaryota; Viridiplantae; Streptophyta; Magnoliopsida; Solanales; Solanaceae
Description: long non-coding RNA (STUB_LNC002431)
Source: RNAcentral
AAUCCGGCGGAAACAAAAUUGUGUGUAAUUUUGAUUCAUAUUUUGUUGAGGCAAAGGGUUAGGGUUUGUGAAUGUUAUUUUUAAGUUACACAGUAGUAUAAAUUUUGUGAAAGUUUUAGUUCGCAAAUUAUUUCCAUGUUAAAUUCAAUCUUAAGAAUAUGAAAGGGUUGAAGAAUUUUGUCCUUGUAGUAUUUAUUUCAUUGGGUUAACAUGUUCAAGAGUCAAUCUUAAGAAUAUCAUGUGAUUUAUGCUUGUGCUGCAAAUUUUUAACCUAGUUGCUAGAGAAAUAUUCACGUACUCAUCUUCUUUGUGUCACUUUUCUUUUUUAAGUUCAAGUGAUGAGGGGUCCAGGCAGAGUAGGAAGGAAAGGAUAGGGGAGCUCCGGCUGGAAAUUUAACCCUAUGCAACUAGGCAUUUGGAACGACAUCUAUUUAAGUGAUUUUUUUUUUAUAAUGAGAAGAACACAUAGUCCAUAAUUUACACUACAUCUCCUUGUUUGGAAUAUCAUAAUUGGGUAGUAGUUCUACAAGAUUAAUGUUCCUUAUGUAAUCAGCUUUCCUGUUCUUUUUCCCCAUCAAUAAUCUUUUCUCUUCUGUCUGUUUAGUGUAGAUGAGGAGGGAGCGUGCCAUUGAUGAAAGAUGAGAACAUGGUCAAUGCGCGGCCUGGUUGAUAGCUUGGAACGAAAUGUCCUGCUCCUCUUACUGUCACAAAUGUCAAGUUCUGGUAUUCUACUGCAUAACCACCAACCUAGAAAGGAAAAGGAUUAUAUGAAAUAAUUAAUUUAUGUACAUACAUGAUAUUCUGAAAAUAGACAUUGUACAUAGAGUUGAAGAAUAAUGACAACUUUGUUACCUCGCCUUGGAAGAACCAAGGGUACCAUGGUGUUUUGACUGGUGUUUUUAUUUUGUCUAUGGCAUAUGUACUUGUCGUCACAGAUAACAUAUGAUCUAUGUCUCCACUGAAAUUGUUAAAAACAAAGUCUUAAGAAAAUGUUAUUGUUUUGAAAUCACUAAAAUUCUGAAUUGUUUCUGAUGACUGCUUCCUUGCUUGAUUUACUUACCUAUAAAUCCAAACCCUAAUGCCACUUUGCAUGAGCUCUUGAAAGACUGUUAGAACAGAGUGCGGGGAGUCCUGCCAAGAGCCGAAUAUGAAACCACUGCACAAGUGAGAAAUGAAGAAAUUGAAAUUAAUCCCCAAAAGAUAAUAAUAAGCCUCAAGAAUGAAAAUGUUUUAGAGAACUCAAUGUAUUACUUGCAGGAAUCCCAGGAAUAGGGUGUAUCUUUGACAUUAAGGGCCUUUUGUACUUCAGCACUAUUUAGGUAAUUGUCUACGUAAUCAGCUGAGCAUGGAUCAAAUCCAUCUAUCUGUUAUACACAAAAGAAAAAGUUGCCAUCACAAAAUUUAAUAGAAGUAUGUAAAAUCUACAGAGAGGUGACUGGUGAGCGUAUUGGGGCGUAGAAUGUUGUUGUGCAUGGUCUUUUUUUUUUCCUCACCGUGAUCGUCACCUUAAUUUGGGCACUGCAAAUAUUUCUUUUUUCCUCAAUAAUGAAUGAGCAGUUAGCCAGUGGAACUUACAGGAAGGGAAGUAUAGACAGAGGAGUUGCACAGUUGGGAAUAUGUGUUGUAAGCAUAUAUAUUGCUUUGAGAUGAAUCUGCUUGCUUAAUGUACUCAUUACAUGCUUUUGAGGUUGUCUCUGCCGAGAAGUUGCAAUUCAAGACAAUUCCUUCAUGGACUUCAUCUGAUAUUAGAGCAUGGGUCCAAUAAAAGUCGUAUGUACCACUGUUCAUUGUUUCGUCAUCGAUGAUGCCAUUUCCAGUCUGAAAUCCAUGCCAUAUGCAUGCAAUUAAGACGCAGACACGAAAUAACUAGUGACUUAAUCAUGAGAAAAGUAAUUUAGUGACCAUUUGAAGCUUAGCUUACUGCUAUUCCUUGCAAGUUAAUGACAAGGUUUGGUUCUGUUUCCUUGUAGGAUAAGAUCAGCUGAGCAAGUUGAGGCACAUAGUGGCCAGCAUAACUCUCUCCAGUAAUAUAGAAAUCUCGGUGUUUAUAUUCUGGGAAUCUUUCCAUCCAAUUGAUGAGAAAGGUGAAACUGUCUUGUCUGGUCUUUUCGUCUCCAGUAGAAUAAUCUGUUGAUGUGUUAGAAUAAGAGAAUCCAACACCAGCAGGUGAUUCUAAAUAGAGGAUGUUUGCCACUGCAUUAAAUUUGCAAAAUUGUUGUCAUUGUUAUUUACAGGUUUGUGAUUUCUCUCAAUUGUGAUGACAGAUUUUGCAGAAGAGAGAGGUAUGAGUACCAUUGUUCCAGGCAAAAGGGUUGAGCAAUAAGGUUUUUCCAUCUUUAUUGACGCGGAAUGGUCCAAGUUCCAUCAUGGCUCCAGCCCCGAAUGAAGAGCAACCAGGUC